CCUACGGGUGGCAGCAGUGAGGAAUUUUGCGCAAUGGGCGAAAGCCUGACGCAGCGACGCCGCGUGGAGGAUGAAGGCCUUCGGGUUGUAAACUCCUGUUAGAGGGGAAGAAGCCCCGCAAGGGGUUGACGGUACCCUCAGAGGAAGCCCCGGCUAACUACGUGCCAGCAGCCGCGGUAAUACGUAGGGGGCAAGCGUUACUCGGAAUUACUGGGCGUAAAGGGUGUGUAGGCGGCCGAGCAAGUCGAAGAGAAAAUCCCAGGGCUCAACCCUGGAAUUGUCUUCGAUACGGCUGGGCUGGAGGGUAGUGGAGGAGAGCGAAAUCCCCGGUGGAGGGGUGAAAUGCGUAGAUAUCGGGAGGAACACCAGAGGCGAAGGCGGCUCUCUAUGCUACUCCUGACGCUGAGGCACGAAAGCUGGGGGAGCAAACGGGAUUAGAUCCCCCGUUAGU
Molecule: ribosomal RNA, 451 nt
Filed under: uncultured bacterium
Lineage: Bacteria
Description: partial 16S ribosomal RNA
Rfam family: Bacterial small subunit ribosomal RNA
Source: RNAcentral